RNAcentral lists this unclassified non-coding RNA (155 nucleotides) under soil metagenome. Its description in RNAcentral is "partial internal transcribed spacer 1". The record is from RNAcentral.
CAAGUGACCCCGGUCUAACCACCGGGAUGUUCAUAACCCUUUGUUGUCCGACUCUGUUGCCUCCGGGGCGACCCUGCCUUCGGGCGGGGGCUCCGGGUGGACACUUCAAACUCUUGCGUAACUUUGCAGUCUGAGUAAACUUAAUUAAUAGAUUA